UCACACUCCAUCGAGAGCUACACCAUGCCGUGCCCCCACAGAAACCGCCGGCGAGGACAUUCCUUCACCCCGGUCCGCCGCACACUGCCUCAUCCCACGCUAGUGACCAGGCGCCACCCUCGUCCGCCGUAGCCAGCCUCAGCUCCACGCCGUCGUGCUCCCCCACCUCUCCGUGACGAUUAAUUUUUGUUCGGCAUUGUUGAGGAAAUUUUCGA
Juglans microcarpa x Juglans regia is the source of this 215-nucleotide long non-coding RNA. RefSeq lists it as uncharacterized. NCBI's taxonomy places the organism in Eukaryota, Viridiplantae, Streptophyta, Magnoliopsida, Fagales, Juglandaceae. The transcript is spliced from 3 exons. The record is from RefSeq and is a predicted model, not a curated record.